Molecule: ribosomal RNA, 1793 nt
Filed under: Capsicum baccatum
Lineage: Eukaryota; Viridiplantae; Streptophyta; Magnoliopsida; Solanales; Solanaceae
Description: SSU rRNA
Rfam family: Eukaryotic small subunit ribosomal RNA (bases 534-1793)
Source: RNAcentral
ACCUUGGCAUGUCAAAGGAAUGCGCAAGGUACUCAUAGGGCUCAGGAACCCUAUGGGUAACGCUAGGUCGGGUGGACUAGCGUUGGGCAUCGAAAAAGGCUAGAGGUUGGCUAUAUGAACCGACAAGCCCCGCGGGCUGUCUAAAUGAUGGAAGGAUGCCUCAAAGCCGAUAGAGAAAUUGAGAUACUCUACCCAAGAGACUCGUGAGCUAACUUGUGAGCUUGGUCAAAGUUCAACCAAGCGAGCAAGGGUCCGUUGGCCUAGACGCGCAGUUGUGGGGCGACACUGUGCUACGGAAGUUGGAUGCAAGUUGCGUGGGAUAUGUUUGCUAUGCCACAAGACAUGAGAGGGCAUAUCUAAGAAAGACGCUUGAGACAAGGCCAAGGAUUGCGGGUUGCCCUACUCGGGCAAAGCAUAAGCUAAGUGCACAUACACGAGGCGAUGUCAAGCUUGAGAAUAGAGUUGUGCAUGCGAUGGCAAUGGUCAGGCCAAGGUGAGGGACGAGUAUGUCCGUAGCCAUACCCAGGGGCACAUAUGGACAAGAUCCAAGGAUUAAAGGUGCGCCAGAAAAGUUGCUUAUACGUCGGCCAUGAUGGCCGACACGUUGAAGGAGCGGCACCAAAGGGGGCAAGCCUCUGUGGCGAGCUUCCCACAGGCACAGGAUCGUGCUAAAGACUUGGGAAAUGAGGAAGGCUGGCCUAUGGUCGGGGGAACCAUGGGCACCACAUGGGAAAAAUUGUGUACCGCUGACGCAGCGAAAAAUGAGCCCGUGACACUAAGCUUUGUAUACAUUAGCAUGGGAUAACAUUAUAGGAUUUCAGUCCUAUUACGUUGGCCUUCGGGGUCGGAGUAAUGAUUAACAAGGACAGUCGGGGGCAUUCGUAUUUCAUAGUUAGAGGUGAAAUUCUUGGAUUUAUGAAAGACGAACAACUGUGAAAGCAUUUGCCAAGGAUGUUUUCAUUAAUCAAGAACAAAAGUUGGGGGAUCGAAGACGAUCAGAUACCGUCCUAGUCUCAACCAUAAACGAUGCCGACCAGGGAUCGGUGGAUGUUUCUUUUAGGACUGCGCCAGCACCUUAUGAGAAAUGAAAGUUUUUGGGUUCCGGGGGGAGUAUGGUUGGAAGGCUGAAACUUAAAGGAAUUGACGGAAAGGCACCACCAGGAGUGGAGCCUGCGGCUUAAUUUGACUCAACACGGGGAAACUUACCAGGUCCAGACAUAGUAAGGAUUGACAGACUAAGAGCUCUUUCUUGAUUCUAUGGGUGGUGGUGCAUGGCCGUUAUUAGUUAGUGGAGCGAUUUGUUUGGUAAAUUCUAUUAACGAAUGAGACCUCAUCCUGCUAACUAGCUAUGCAGAGGUAUACCUUCACGGCCAGCUUCUUAGAAGGACUACGGCCUUUUAGGCCGCGGAAGUUUGAGGCAAUAACAGGUCUGUGAUGCCCUUAGAUGUUCUGGGCCGCACGCGCGCUACACUGAUGUAUUCAACGAGUCUAUAGCCUUGGCCGACAGGCCCGGGUAAUCUUUGAAAUUUCAUCGUGAUGGGGAUAGAUCAUUGCAAUUGUUGGUCUUCAACGAGGAAUUCCUAGUAAGCACGAGUCAUAAGCUCGCGUUGACAUGUCCCUGCCCUUUGUACACACCGUCCGUCGCUACUACUGAUUGAAUGAUCCAAUGAAAUGUUCUGAUCGCAGCGACAUGGGUGGUUUGCUGCCCGCAACAUCGCGAGAAGUCCAUUGAACCUUAUCAUUUAGAGAAAGGAGAAGUCGUAACAAGGUUUUCGUAGGUGAACCUGCGGAAG